This 662-nucleotide ribosomal RNA is filed under the name uncultured bacterium. RNAcentral's name for it is "bacterial SSU rRNA". The stretch from base 1 to 539 matches the Rfam family "Bacterial small subunit ribosomal RNA", at positions 338 to 873 of the family's 1533-position model. The record is from RNAcentral.
CCUACGGGAGGCAGCAGUGGGGAAUUUUGGACAAUGGGCGAAAGCCUGAUCCAGCAAUGCCGCGUGCAGGAUGAAGGCCUUCGGGUUGUAAACUGCUUUUGUACGGAACGAAACGGUCGCCUCUAAUAAAGGUGGCUAAUGACGGUACCGUAAGAAUAAGCACCGGCUAACUACGUGCCAGCAGCCGCGGUAAUACGUAGGGUGCAAGCGUUAAUCGGAAUUACUGGGCGUAAAGCGUGCGCAGGCGGUUAUAUAAGACAGAUGUGAAAUCCCCGGGCUCAACCUGGGACCUGCAUUUGUGACUGUAUAGCUAGAGUACGGUAGAGGGGGAUGGAAUUCCGCGUGUAGCAGUGAAAUGCGUAGAUAUGCGGAGGAACACCGAUGGCGAAGGCAAUCCCCUGGACCUGUACUGACGCUCAUGCACGAAAGCGUGGGGAGCAAACAGGAUUAGAUACCCUGGUAGUCCACGCCCUAAACGACUGUACACGUGGUUGUUCGGUUCUUACUACGUGUACUACUAAGUAACGAGUACGUACGCGUAGUAGUACGACCGUCGGUAGGGGACGGUACCGGGCCGUACGUAAGGUUAGAAACGUACGAAAGGGUUAAGUUCGGACGGUUCGUUGAGACGACGACCGACGGACGACGACGGAGGGAGGAGG